RNAcentral lists this ribosomal RNA (80 nucleotides) under Dehalococcoidia bacterium. RNAcentral's name for it is "partial 16S ribosomal RNA". It matches the Rfam family "Bacterial small subunit ribosomal RNA", at positions 1454 to 1533 of the family's 1533-position model. The record is from RNAcentral. Lineage: Bacteria; Bacillati; Chloroflexota; Dehalococcoidia.
CGCCGAAAGCGAGCUCCGUGACUGGGACUAAGUCGUAACAAGGUAGCCGUAGGGGAACCUGCGGCUGGAUCACCUCCUUU